CGGCCGGCGUCAGCGUGCAGUUUGUUCCGAGUAUCGAACAAGGCCACAACCAGCCUGGCCGGUCCCGCACUUCGACAACACGUCGGAAAAUCCAAACAUAUCAUAAUCAUAGACAAAAAAAAAGCAAAAUAAAUCUCGGUGAAAGGAGCACACUUUUUCGGUAAUGUUCUCCUCCUCAGUGCCUCCACUCGCCGACCACUCUUCAUCAACUUCUUCGCACGGUGCUUACCUGUGCAGAUUCGGCAUCCGCUAAAGCUCGCAAUGUGCCGAGCAAUCUUUACAGACACGAUAUGACCUAAUCCAUACAUUCAUACAUUUCUCAUAUCAUUCUCCAGGAGGCGUAGCUACACUUUAACUAUACCUAAACCUCUUGCAAUACUAAAAAAGAUCCAACUAAACCUCUUACAAUACUUCGAGAGGUGCAGAUAAACCUCUUACAAUACUUCAAGAGGUGAAGCUAAACCUCCUGAAAUACUCCAAAAGGUCCAGCUAAACCUCUUACAAUACUUCAACUGGUAUAGCUAAACCUCUUAUAAUACUUCAGGAGGUGCAACUGAAUUGAAUUGAAUAUUUCAGAAGGUGCAGUUAAACCUCUUACAAUAUUUCAGGAGGUGAAGCUAAACCUCCCCGAGCAAUGCACCCGUUAUUCUAAUAUUAUUUACACUCACAUCGAGAGCGAGUCCGGAAUUUGGCAACACUCUCGCGAGUAUUAUUUACAGCAUCCAGAAUUUAUCCCGGUGGGCUGGGGCAUAAAUACUACAACACCAUGUGCUCCCCUUGUUUCACUUCACCCAGAAGCUGAUAGAAACUUUAUGAAUCUAUGGCCUUUCAGCUAUUUGUGAGAAGCAAACGCGACUUCUUCGAUCUUCGAUCCCCAUCAUUAUCGAGGACCUUAGCCAAGAAAACAGGCCUGUUUUCUCCACUUAUUACAAAUCGAUCAUUCUAUUUUUGUAUUCGCGUAUGUGGCUAUGAAACUCGCAUCAAUCCGGCUUAUCAUUCUAUUUCGACGCGCUCCUGAUUUUUCUC
Molecule: long non-coding RNA, 1026 nt
Organism: Nicrophorus vespilloides
Lineage: Eukaryota; Metazoa; Arthropoda; Insecta; Coleoptera; Silphidae
Exons: 2
Source: RefSeq, a predicted model, not a curated record